RNAcentral lists this ribosomal RNA (429 nucleotides) under Chloroflexota bacterium. Its description in RNAcentral is "Chloroflexi bacterium partial 16S ribosomal RNA". It matches the Rfam family "Bacterial small subunit ribosomal RNA", at positions 355 to 776 of the family's 1533-position model. The record is from RNAcentral. Lineage: Bacteria; Bacillati; Chloroflexota.
UGGGGAAUAUUGCACAAUGGGCGCAAGCCUGAUGCAGCCAUGCCGCGUGUAUGAAGCAGGCCUUCGGGUUGUAAAGUACUUUCAGCGGGGAGGAAGGGAGUAAAGUUAAUACCUUUGCUCAUUGACGUUACCCGCAGAAGAAGCACCGGCUAACUCCGUGCCAGCAGCCGCGGUAAUACGGAGGGUGCAAGCGUUAAUCGGAAUUACUGGGCGUAAAGCGCACGCAGGCGGUUUGUUAAGUCAGAUGUGAAAUCCCCGGGCUCAACCUGGGAACUGCAUCUGAUACUGGCAAGCUUGAGUCUCGUAGAGGGGGGUAGAAUUCCAGGUGUAGCGGUGAAAUGCGUAGAGAUCUGGAGGAAUACCGGUGGCGAAGGCGGCCCCCUGGACGAAGACUGACGCUCAGGUGCGAAAGAGGGGGGAGCAAACAGG